This 253-nucleotide ribosomal RNA is filed under the name uncultured bacterium. RNAcentral's name for it is "partial 16S ribosomal RNA". It matches the Rfam family "Bacterial small subunit ribosomal RNA", at positions 524 to 776 of the family's 1533-position model. The record is from RNAcentral.
UACGUAGGUGGCAAGCGUUGUCCGGAUUUACUGGGCGUAAAGAGCGCGCAGGCGGUCGUUCAAGUCGCGUGUGAAAGCCCCCGGCUCAACUGGGGAGGGUCACGCGAUACUGCUCGACUUGAAGGCAGGAGAGGGAAGUGGAAUUCCCGGUGUAGUGGUGAAAUGCGUAGAUAUCGGGAGGAACACCAGUGGCGAAGGCGACUUCCUGGCCUGUUCUUGACGCUGAGGCGCGAAAGCUAGGGUAGCAAACGGG